Polyodon spathula (Mississippi paddlefish) is the source of this 1322-nucleotide long non-coding RNA. RefSeq lists it as uncharacterized. The record is from RefSeq and is a predicted model, not a curated record. The transcript is spliced from 3 exons. Lineage: Eukaryota; Metazoa; Chordata; Actinopteri; Acipenseriformes; Polyodontidae.
UUCAUUUGCUCUCGCAUACAGAGGCUGGCUGCCAGUGAGACAGGCCCACUCCAGAGCAGGCUGGAGUGGGCCCAGCACGGGGGAGGAAGCUUGAUGACUCAGGCCUCCCACGCCCAUCUCCCAUGAGCAGAGACUGCACAGCACUGCACUGCACUGUUCGGAAACCCCCCAAAGUUCCCAGGAUUAGUCAUCUGCAACUGCAAGGGAAGCAAGCCAGGUAGUCUGCUACAUUAGGAAAUACAGGCAACAGCCUGGGAGAGAAAACCAACCGCAAGACUGAUAAAAACAAAAAACAUGAACAUCCUACAGUGUCCUCAAGCCAGCAACAUUCCACCAAAUUACUGAGCCAGGAAAGAAUGCUCAAAAACAAGGUUUUAUACAUUCAGUAGUGGUGUCCGAGUUCUCAUUUUCCUGCACUCAUUGGUGUUCCCGAGAGUCAAGUCGUGCUGAUCACCCCUGUGCCCCUCCUUCGCGCACUUUCACCUGGCUGAAUGUUUGAAUGGGGCUCCGGAAGGCUGCUUCUUCCAGAUUUCCCAGUGUUUUCUUCAAGCUGCUAUACUGAAGAAGCCCCAGCACCUCUCCAAACGAGUCUGAAGACACUGCCUGAAUACUGAUUCGAGGCUUAGCUCCAGGCUAAGUGAACCCUGCUGCUCGAUCUCUCUACCCCUUACUCACUCCUUGGAGAGCUCACCAGGGCUAUAAAUCCUUUUCUCUCACUUACACUAUAACUUUUGGUUCCAGAGCAUGGAACUUGGGACAUAUAUGCUGAAGAUCAGAAAUAAUUAAACCAUGUCUUCCUGGUAUCGUAUUACUUCAUGUGCAGAAGGUCACAUCGCCUAACAAGACCACUGGAGGCAAACUGAGCCACAGGACAGGACAGGACGUGAUUAAAUACCAGGAAGUAGCUGUAACUGUUACCUCUAUAGCAUGGACUACAAUAAUUUCACACUUCGCAAAGAACCACAAUGACUUUGAGAGAAGACAAGGGGAGUGGAGUGGGCAAUGACAAUCUGGAAUUCCCCUAUGCUAUUGGUACAGAACUAUACAAUAUGAAUAUCCACUAAAUGCAAUUUACUAUAGCAACCACAUAAGGUAAUAAAGUAACUGAUGAGUUAAUUAUUAAUAAACCCAAACGUUUGGUAUCAUCUUAAGCAACAAACAGCUAUUUUAUUGAAUUAUGAUUUUAUUUGAAUAAUUUUAUUGCAGAAAAAAGACUGUUAUUUAGCUUUUCUGUCAAAAACAAUAUUGAUCUAUCAAAUUAGUGAAUUCAUUUUAAUUCUGGGGGGAAGGAAUACCCAUGCAAUGUCACUAUGUAUCCAUGU